This 253-nucleotide ribosomal RNA is filed under the name uncultured bacterium. RNAcentral's name for it is "partial 16S ribosomal RNA". It matches the Rfam family "Bacterial small subunit ribosomal RNA", at positions 524 to 776 of the family's 1533-position model. The record is from RNAcentral.
UACGUAGGUGGCAAGCGUUGUCCGGAUUUACUGGGCGUAAAGAGCGCGCAGGCGGUCGAGUAAGUCGAAUGUGAAAGCCCCCGGCUUAACUGGGGAGGGUCAUUCGAUACUGUUCGACUUGAAGGCAGGAGAGGGCAGCAGAAUUCCCGGUGUAGUGGUGAAAUGCGUAGAUAUCGGGAGGAACACCAGUGGCGAAGGCGGCUUCCUGGCCUGUUCUUGACGCUGAGGCGCGAAAGCUAGGGGAGCAAACGGG